AACGAACGCUGGCGGCAGGCCUAACACAUGCAAGUCGAGCGCCCUGCUUGCAGGGAGCGGCGGACGGGUGAGUAACGCGUGGGAACGUGCCCUUUAGUUCAGAAUAGCCACUGGAAACGGUGAGUAAUACUGGAUACGCCCUUCGGGGGAAAGAUUUAUCGCUAAAGGAUCGGCCCGCGUUGGAUUAGCUAGUUGGUGGGGUAAUGGCCUACCAAGGCGACGAUCUAUAGCUGGUCUGAGAGGAUGAUCAGCCACACUGGGACUGAGACACGGCCCAGACUCCUACGGGAGGCAGCAGUGGGGAAUAUUGGACAAUGGGGGCAACCCUGAUCCAGCCAUGCCGCGUGAGUGAAGAAGGCCCUAGGGUUGUAAAGCUCUUUCAGAUGUGAGGAUGAUGACAGUAGCAUCAGAAGAAGCACCGGCUAACUUCG
Molecule: ribosomal RNA, 431 nt
Filed under: uncultured Kiloniellales bacterium
Lineage: Bacteria; Pseudomonadati; Pseudomonadota; Alphaproteobacteria; Rhodospirillales
Description: bacterial SSU rRNA
Rfam family: Bacterial small subunit ribosomal RNA
Source: RNAcentral